This 497-nucleotide ribosomal RNA is filed under the name uncultured bacterium. Its description in RNAcentral is "partial 16S ribosomal RNA". It matches the Rfam family "Bacterial small subunit ribosomal RNA", at positions 28 to 507 of the family's 1533-position model. The record is from RNAcentral.
GAUGAACGCUGGCGGCGUGCCUAAUACAUGCGAGUCGAGCGAACAGAUGAGGAGCUUGCUCCUCUGACGUUAGCGGCGGACGGGUGAGUAACACGUGGAUAACCUACCUAUAAGACUGGGAUAACUUCGGGAAACCGGAGCUAAUACCGGAUAAUAUAUUGAACCGCAUGGUUCAAUAGUGAAAGACGGUUUUGCUGUCACUUAUAGAUGGAUCCGCGCCGCAUUAGCUAGUUGGUAAGGUCACGGCUUACCAAGGCGACGAUGCGUAGCCGACCUGAGAGGGUGAUCGGCCACACUGGAACUGAGACACGGUCCAGACUCCUACGGGAGGCAGCAGUAGGGAAUCUUCAGCAAUGGGCGAAAGCCUGACGGAGCAACGCCGCGUGAGUGAUGAAGGUCUUCGGAUCGUAAAACUCUGUUAUUAGGGAAGAACAAAUGUGUAAGUAACUAUGCACGUCUUGACGGUACCUAAUCAGAAAGCCACGGCUAACUACGUG